ACCUUGACAUCAUACUCCCUCCGUCUUGAAAUGUAGGUCAUUCUAGGAUUUUUCCAACAGAUUAUGGAGAUGGAGAAAAUACUCUUCUAUCUCUAAUUAUUAAGCAUUGGGACUCUAUUUGAGUAAUUUUUCUCGAACACACAGGAGAGCUGCGUAUCUUUAUAUUAAGAGAGAAAGAGCAGUCCAAUUACAAAAAAAUCAUUCCACACCUUGGACCAUAGCGAGGAAUGAUCUGAGCUAGAAAUGCCAAUUACACAAACUCACGCUUGAAGGACCUGACCAUAACACCCCUUACUACUAGACCUGCACCACCUCCCUCUCAAGGAGCAAGGCAGCAAGCCUCUUAGCCCCCGAGAGUUGCCAAAGGUGAGAUUCCUCCUGAAAGGCCUGCAGAGCCACCUGCAUAUUUGGGGCAGCCCCAUCAAAAACACAACUAUUCCUAUGCUUCCAAAGGAUCCAUGCACCCAGGAUGCACAAGGAGUUAAAGCCUUUUCUAUGCUGCUUCUGAAUUUUCCUUUCGGCCUUCUUCCACCAAUCAGCGAACACUACACUCCUUGUGGGCAUCAGUCGAUCCAGGUUCAGGGGCUUCAAAAUGGCAAACCAAAAUUGCCUAGCAAAGACACAAGAAGUCAGGAUGUGUUGGAUGGUUUCCUCCUCCUGAUCACAAAGAGGACAGCGAUCUGGGUAUGGGAGGCCUCUUUUUUGCAGGCGGUCAGCAGUCCAACAUCGAUUCCUAAUAGCCAGCCACACAAAUGUUUUACAUUUUCCAGGGGCCCAGGUCUUCCACACUUUCUUCCAUGGUUCAAAGGUGAUGGCACCAACGAAGAAGUUCUUAUAGGCUGAUCUUGAUGAAAAAAUUCCCGAGGCUUCUAGCUUCCACUGGUGAAUGUCCUUUGUGUCAUUCAGGUUAACAUUUGCCAACAUGUCCCAAAGCUCAAGAGAUACACAUUUGACAACAUUUGGUGCUAGAUCCUCAAGACGGCUGCCAUGUAACCAACGAUCAGUCCAAAAACAAGUUGUUCUACCAUUACCCACCAAAGAUUCAGUGGCUACAGCAAACAUAGAAACUGCAUUGGGGUAAACUGGAAUUUCAAGACCAGCCCAAGGCCGAGCAGCUCCAGUUUUCUCAAGCCAAAGUCAUCUCAUUUGCAGCGCCCAACCCAUGAUUUCGAGGUUAUGAAUGCCCAGUCCUCCAAGGUCAAUGGGUCUCAUUACCUUCUCCCAGGCUACUAAACAACAACCCCCAUUGGCCUGUUUCCUGCCUGACCAAAGGAUGCCUCUUCUUAUUUUAUCAAUAGCUCGAAGGAACCACUUGGGGACUUUAAUAGCGAUCAACAAAUGAAUAGGAAUUGCAGUGAGCACAAACCGUACAAGCACUGCUCGACCAGCUAAUGUUAGCAAGGAAGCUCUCCACCCUGGCAAUUUGUUUGCUAUCUUCUCGAUCCAGAUUGGUUUGCAGCCCUGAGGCUUCACCAAAACAGCGCAGAAUGUCCUUUGUGAGCUGUAAAUCUUCUUCAGUUGGUCUGAUAAACAGAGCCACAUCAUCUGCAUACAAUGAGAGCCUUUGCCCGGUGGACAGUAGAGGAGAAAGUAAUCCUUCAGCUUCAGCCUUGAGAAACAGACUGUUUAGAACAUCCAUAACUAAAAUAAAUAGCAUCGGGGAGAGAGGAUCCCCUUGGCGCAGAUCUUGCUGAUGUGAAAUAGAAUGCCCUGGUUCUCCAUUAAGCAUAAUUUGGGUGGAUGCAGCAUGUAACAAGUUGGAGAUGAUAGUUCGCCAGGCAGGACCAAAUCCCAAGUGUGAAAGAAUCUCCAACAAGAAAGACCAGUCCACUGAAUCAAAUGCCUUUGAGAUAUCUAGUUUCAAAAAGAGGCUCGCAAUUUUAUGGUGAUGGAGCACCUUAAUAGUCCGCUGCACUAGCAUGAAAUUAUCAUGAAUACAUCUGCCCCUUAUGAAGGCACUCUAGUUGGUAGCAACUAAAGUAUUCAGCAGAGGGGCCAAACGGUUUGCCAGCAAUUUGGUGACCAGUUUAGCAAAGCUGUGAACCAGACUAAUUGGGCGAUAGUCCUUUGCUUCAAGAGCUUCUAAUUUCUUGGGGAUCAGAGUUAGAUAUGCUGAGUUUAGCAGCUCCAAAUGUCUCAAAUCACCUUGAUGAAUUGACACCAAUGCAGCCAAUACAUCCGCUUUAAUAAUCUGCCAGCAGGAUUUAUAGAAACAGCCAGUAAAACCAUCUGGGCCUAGAGCGCGAUCCGCAGGCAUAGCAUUGAUGGUGGCCCAUACUUCCUCCUCAGAGAAAGGUGCCUCAAGACUUGACAGAUCAAUACCUGCCCGAUGAAAUGCAGACAAAUCCAAAGAAGCCGUUCUAUGUCUUGUCUGGCCUAAGAUUCCCUCAAAAUGCUCCAAGAGGACCUGGUGCUUAUCUUCUUGAGCCGUGACCACCUGAUCAUCAACC
Molecule: long non-coding RNA, 2450 nt
Organism: Panicum virgatum (switchgrass)
Lineage: Eukaryota; Viridiplantae; Streptophyta; Magnoliopsida; Poales; Poaceae
Exons: 3
Source: RefSeq, a predicted model, not a curated record